Molecule: ribosomal RNA, 381 nt
Filed under: uncultured bacterium
Lineage: Bacteria
Description: bacterial SSU rRNA
Rfam family: Bacterial small subunit ribosomal RNA
Source: RNAcentral
AUUGAACGCUGGCGGCAUGCCUUACACAUGCAAGUCGAACGGCAGCACGGGGGCAACCCUGGUGGCGAGUGGCGAACGGGUGAGUAAUACAUCGGAACGUGCCCAGUAGUGGGGGAUAGCCCGGCGAAAGCCGGAUUAAUACCGCAUACGACCUACGGGUGAAAGCGGGGGAUCGCAAGACCUCGUGCUACCGGAGCGGCCGAUGUCAGAUUAGGUUGUUGGUGGGGUAAAANCCUACCAAGCCGACGAUCUGUAGCUGGUCUGAGAGGACGACCAGCCACACUGGGACUGAGACACGGCCCAGACUCCUACGGGAGGCAGCAGUGGGGAAUUUUGGACAAUGGGCGCAAGCCUGAUCCAGCCAUGCCGCGUGCGGAAGAA